Non-coding RNA from Xyrichtys novacula (pearly razorfish), 452 nucleotides. Lineage: Eukaryota; Metazoa; Chordata; Actinopteri; Labriformes; Labridae. The record is from the annotation of a GenBank genome assembly.
GAUGACUGGAUAAAUGAGUUCUGCAAGGAUGAGAGUGCUGACAAAGAGCAGCAGAGUAUUGUUGAUGAACAGGGAGGAUCAAAUGCAGAGAGCUCUGAGGCAUCUGCAGCUGAGAACGCUGCAGCUGAAAAGGCUGCAGCUGAGGCAGCUGAGGCUGAGGAAGAACUUCUGCAUGAUCGGCAGCAGCAUUGCAUGUUUCAAGACACAUGCUCAAUGCCUGUUGAUAUUGGCCAGGAAGCGCUGGACCAAUAUUUUGAUGGUGUUUUGAACUUGGCUCCAGCUGAUGGACAGAACCCUGUGAAGGUUUUGACAACAAAGGAGAACGAGGCCAAGUGUUUCCCUGUGUUGUUUCCAAAAGGCCGUGGUACAUUUUUUGAUAACAGAAAAUUUUCUCUGACUCUGUUCCGCUAUUUGAGCAACAGGCUAUAUCAUGCUGAUGGUAGGUUUGCGCA